Molecule: long non-coding RNA, 1028 nt
Filed under: Anser brachyrhynchus (Pink-footed goose)
Lineage: Eukaryota; Metazoa; Chordata; Aves; Anseriformes; Anatidae
Description: lncRNA (ENSABRG00000003425.1)
Source: RNAcentral
UUUCUUUUCUUUUUUUUUUCCUUUAUUAAAUCAUUAUGUUUAACUCCAUUAAGGUUAGAGUGAAUCUGAAGUUACACGCGUACAGGCGCACACAGCACACCCUAAAUAGCUUAUUGCAUAAUCCCACAUAGCGUGUGCAGUAAUGUAGCAUGCAGUGGUCUGCUAGGAUCCCACACUGGACUUUUGUUUUAUGCAAGAAGGAGAAGAAGAAGGAAAAAAAAAAAAAGCUUUCAGUGCUGCCUUUUCUUGACUUUCAAAUGGUGAUUUUUGGUAGUGAGUAUUGAGCACAGCAUGAAGUGCUACAAAAUGUUUUCCUACUAUCGCAUCCAGGACUGAGGAGAGACGAUUUAUAUUUGUGAGCUGGUCCUGCCCAUCACGGUGCGUGGAAGUGUUAGAAAACAGACUGCGGUGUUAUCCAGACCUAAGAAAGAUGCUCCUGGCUUUAUAAUGGAUAUUAAACACUCUGUCACAAGGGCGUUGCGUGCAGUGCAAUUUUUUUCUGAAAUAAGUGUAGCAAGAAAUCCGUGCCAAGCAUCUGACACCGCAUGCAGAGAAUUAAACGCUACUCGGUCCUUCUUCUGCAGGACUUCAGAUCUCUCCCAUGGGGUAAUUGCUGUCCUACUGUGUGCAGACUUAAACCACGAGGUGACAUAAAAUAAAAGGACCCUUUCCUGGUAACAUCGAACAUCAGACUCCAGUCAAGACAGAGUGAAUUUUUCCUGGCAGCUUCACGAUGCAGCCUGCUUCCAACCUGAGAUGGUCCUGGAGAACCCCAGCUCCUUCCCUGGGAGCCUGCAAAUGAUGGCCAGAACUUGCAUCUCACGGCUUUGGAUGAAACUCUUUCAGAAAAAAAUGAACCAGAAUCAAAAUCCAAAGCUCAGCCUCAUGUCCACUUCCUUCUCGUUUGGCUCCCUUGCGUGAGUAGGUGGGAAAGGGAGGCUUUCAGAUACACUCUUCGUUUUGCCCUUUCCUGCCAGAGGUGUUCCCAUCUCCCUGGGGAGGUCGCAGCACUGGGAGGCACCCUCGCC